This 427-nucleotide ribosomal RNA is filed under the name uncultured bacterium. Its description in RNAcentral is "bacterial SSU rRNA". It matches the Rfam family "Bacterial small subunit ribosomal RNA", at positions 355 to 774 of the family's 1533-position model. RNAcentral also lists the same sequence under 1 other name. The record is from RNAcentral.
UGGGGAAUAUUGCACAAUGGGCGCAAGCCUGAUGCAGCCAUGCCGCGUGUGUGAAGAAGGCCUUAGGGUUGUAAAGCACUUUCAGCGAGGAGGAAGGCAUCAUACUUAAUACGUGUGGUGAUUGACGUUACUCGCAGAAGAAGCACCGGCUAACUCCGUGCCAGCAGCCGCGGUAAUACGGAGGGUGCAAGCGUUAAUCGGAAUUACUGGGCGUAAAGCGCACGCAGGCGGUUUGUUAAGUCAGAUGUGAAAUCCCCGCGCUUAACGUGGGAACUGCAUUUGAAACUGGCAAGCUAGAGUCUUGUAGAGGGGGGUAGAAUUCCAGGUGUAGCGGUGAAAUGCGUAGAGAUCUGGAGGAAUACCGGUGGCGAAGGCGGCCCCCUGGACAAAGACUGACGCUCAGGUGCGAAAGCGUGGGGAGCAAACA